RNAcentral lists this ribosomal RNA (420 nucleotides) under uncultured bacterium. RNAcentral describes it as "bacterial SSU rRNA". It matches the Rfam family "Bacterial small subunit ribosomal RNA", at positions 359 to 776 of the family's 1533-position model. The record is from RNAcentral.
GAAUAUUGGUCAAUGGACGCAAGUCUGAACCAGCCAUGCCGCGUGGAGGAUGAAGGUCCUCUGGAUUGUAAACUUCUUUUCUCUGGGACGAAACCCCCGAAUUCUUUUGGGGCUGACGGUACCAGCGGAAUAAGCACCGGCUAACUCCGUGCCAGCCGCCGCGGUAAUACGGAGGGUGCAAGCGUUAUCCGGAUUCACUGGGUUUAAAGGGUGCGUAGGCGGGCAGGUAAGUCCGCGGUGAAAUCCUGGGGCUUAACCCCAGAACUGCCGUUGAUACUAUCUGUCUUGAAUAUUGUGGAGGUGAGCGGAAUAUGUCAUGUAGCGGUGAAAUGCUUAGAUAUGACAUAGAACACCAAUUGCGAAGGCAGCUCACUACGCAGUUAUUGACGCUGAGGCACGAAAGCGUGGGGAUCAAACAGG